AAGUACAAGUCGUAACAAGGUAUCCGUAGGUGAACCUGCGGAUGGAUCAUUACUAAAGGUUUUUACCCGACGUAUUGUGAACUGUAUUGAACCACGGUAAGCGGCAGGUGAGAGGGAUCUAUGGUCCUUCUCCAGUCGCUGGCUGUACAACCAAACGUAGCCAUUUCCAAACCUGAAGUCUUUUUAGUAUUAAACUAAGAUAACUUUUAGCAACGGAUCUCUUGGCUCUC
Molecule: unclassified non-coding RNA, 230 nt
Filed under: fungal sp.
Lineage: Eukaryota; Fungi
Description: partial internal transcribed spacer region
Rfam family: Eukaryotic small subunit ribosomal RNA (bases 1-52)
Source: RNAcentral